CAGUAGCCGCGGUAAUACGAAGGGGGCUAGCGUUGCUCGGAAUUACUGGGCGUAAAGCGUGCGUAGGCGGUGAGUUAAGUCUGCUGUGAAAUCCCCGGGCUCAACCUGGGAAUGGCAGUGGAUACUGGCUCGCUAGAGUGUGUCAGAGGAUGGUGGAAUUCCCGGUGUAGCGGUGAAAUGCGUAGAUAUGCGGAGGAACACCGAUGGCGAAGGCAGCCCCCUGGGCCAACACUGACGCUCAUGCACGAAAGCGUAGGGAGCAAACAGGAUUAGAUACCCGGGUAGUCCCUGUCUCUUAUAC
This 301-nucleotide ribosomal RNA is filed under the name uncultured bacterium. Its description in RNAcentral is "partial 16S ribosomal RNA". It matches the Rfam family "Bacterial small subunit ribosomal RNA", at positions 509 to 807 of the family's 1533-position model. The record is from RNAcentral.